This 714-nucleotide ribosomal RNA is filed under the name Triticum aestivum (bread wheat). RNAcentral describes it as "partial small subunit ribosomal RNA". The record is from RNAcentral. Lineage: Eukaryota; Viridiplantae; Streptophyta; Magnoliopsida; Poales; Poaceae.
AUGUUUCGGGCAAAUGAGGAAAGAUCCAAUAUCGUGAAAGAUGUAAUUCAGCAGUACUGCGAUGCCUCGGGACAACAAGUAAAUUUGGGAAAGUCAAGCAUCUUCUUCGGUAAAGGUUGCCCGGCAGGAACGAGGAACAUGAUAAAGUCUAUACUUGAUGUGCAAAUUGAGUCCCUCUCUGAAAAGUAUCUGGGGUUGCCAUCAGAAGUAGGGAGGUCAAAAAACAACUCCUUCAAAUACAUCAAUGACAAACUAUGGAGCCGUGUGCAGGGCUGGGUUGAGAAUUGCUUAUCUGCUGCAGGCAAGGAGGUCUUGAGCAAGUCCACGGCUCAAGCAAUCCCAACAUUUUUGAUGUCUUGCUUCCUCUUGCCUCGCGGUCUUCGUCAACAACUCGACGUGAUGCUCCGUAAGUUUUGGUGGGGGAGUAAAAAUGGACAACAGAAGGUUGCUUGGGUUUCAUGGGAGGUGAUGACGAUGCCGAAAUAUAUGGGAGGGUUGGGUUUCCGCGACACUCAGCUCUUUAACCCCGCGAUGAUUGCAAAGCAAUCUUGGAUAAUCAUGCAGGACACGUACUCUCUCAGUGCCAGAGUCCUCAAAUCUGUGUAUUUUCCGGACUGUGGCUUACUUGACGUCGAACUAGGAAACCACCCGUCUCAGGUGUGGAGGGCGAUUUGUGAAGGGAGGAUGGUGUUGAAGCGGGGCCUUGUUCGUUGA